This 253-nucleotide ribosomal RNA is filed under the name uncultured bacterium. RNAcentral describes it as "partial 16S ribosomal RNA". It matches the Rfam family "Bacterial small subunit ribosomal RNA", at positions 524 to 776 of the family's 1533-position model. The record is from RNAcentral.
GACAGAGGUGCCGAGCGUUAGGCGGAAUCACUGGGCUUAAAGCGUGUGUAGGCGGAUUUGUAAGUACCUUGUGAAAUCCCACGGCUUAACCGUGGAACUGCUUGGUAUACUGCUUAUCUUGGGCCAUCUAGGGGCUAGCGGAACAAACGGUGGAGCGGUGAAAUGCGUAGAUAUCGUUUGGAACGCCAAUGGUGAAAACAGCUAGCUGGGGAUGUGCCGACGCUGAGACACGAAAGCCAGGGGAGCAAACGGG